GUGCUUGCUUCGGCAGUACAUAUACUAAAAUUGGAACUAUACAAACAGAAUUAGCAUGGCCCCUGCACAGACAAAUUCGUGAAACAUUCCAUAUUCUU
RNAcentral lists this small nuclear RNA (98 nucleotides) under Jaculus jaculus (lesser Egyptian jerboa). Lineage: Eukaryota; Metazoa; Chordata; Mammalia; Rodentia; Dipodidae. The record is from RNAcentral.